AAUCCCCUAAAUAGGACUGUUGACAGAGUUACAUUGAAGCCGGGAAAAAAGAACGGCAUUUACAGAUGGAAAUUUGAAUUUCCGUCCGUCGUAGACUUCGGGACAUGGACAAUCAUAGCAAGGAUCGGUGGAAUGUUUGAAACGUGGGGCGUAUUUUCAAUCGAAGUACGGGAAUUUGUUCUUCCAACAUUCGGAGUCACGAUAACGCCGUCUCGAACGUACAUACUUCCUUCUGAUGACACGAUACUAGUAGUUGUUAC
Molecule: long non-coding RNA, 260 nt
Organism: Dreissena polymorpha
Lineage: Eukaryota; Metazoa; Mollusca; Bivalvia; Myida; Dreissenidae
Exons: 3
Source: RefSeq, a predicted model, not a curated record